AUACGUAGGUGGCAAGCGUUGUCCGGAAUUACUGGGUGUAAAGGGUGCGUAGGCGGGUGAUCAAGUCAGGUGUGAAAUACCACGGCUCAACUGUGGGGGUGCACUUGAAACUGAACAUCUUGAGUGAGGUAGAGGUAAGCGGAAUUCCAAGUGUAGCGGUGAAAUGCGUAGAUAUUUGGAGGAACACCAGUGGCGAAGGCGGCUUACUGGGCCUUAACUGACGCUGAAGCACGAAAGCAUGGGGAGCAAACAGGAUUAGAUACCCUGGUAGUCCAUGCUGUAAACGAUGGAUACUAGGUGUGGGGAGUAUUGACCCUCUCCGUGCCGCAGUUAACACAAUAAGUAUCCCACCUGGGGAGUACGGCCGCAAGGUUGAA
This 377-nucleotide ribosomal RNA is filed under the name uncultured bacterium. RNAcentral describes it as "bacterial SSU rRNA". It matches the Rfam family "Bacterial small subunit ribosomal RNA", at positions 523 to 898 of the family's 1533-position model. The record is from RNAcentral.